UACGCCCGAUCUCGUCCGAUCUCGGAAGCUAAGCAGGGUUGGGCCCGGUUAGUACUUGGAUGGGAUGGGUACCAGGUGCUGUAAGUCUUGUAUUCGACGGGUUAUACUAGAGUAUCAAUACACACGCACGCACAGUGGUUGGAUACUAUGAAUCCAUGUAAGGAGUCCUUAGGCGCUACAGCCUAGUCGCUGAGUGUUGGCGCUUACGGCCAUACCAGCCUG
This 222-nucleotide unclassified non-coding RNA is filed under the name Ompok bimaculatus (butter catfish). The record is from RNAcentral. Lineage: Eukaryota; Metazoa; Chordata; Actinopteri; Siluriformes; Siluridae.